RNAcentral lists this ribosomal RNA (360 nucleotides) under uncultured bacterium. RNAcentral's name for it is "partial 16S ribosomal RNA". It matches the Rfam family "Bacterial small subunit ribosomal RNA", at positions 338 to 695 of the family's 1533-position model. The record is from RNAcentral.
CCUACGGGAGUCAGCAGUGAGGAAUAUUGGUCAAUGGGCUUACGCCUGAACCAGCCAAGUCGCGUGAGUGAAGACUGCCCUAUGGGUUGUAAACCUCUUUUGUCCGGGAGCAAUUGGCGCUACGUGUAGCGUUAUCGAGCGUACCUGAAGAAAAAGCAUCGGCUCACUCCGUGCAAGCAGCCGCUGUAAUACGGAGGAUGCGAGCGUGAUCCGGAUUUAUUGGGUUUAAAGGGUGCGUCGGCGGAAUGCCAAGUCAGCGGUAAAAUCGCGGGGCUCAACCUCGCUCCGCAGUUGAAACUGGCGUUCUUGAGUGGGCGAGAAGUAUGCGGAAUGCGUGGUGUAGCGGUGAAAUGCAUAGAU